AGAGUUUGAUCCUGGCUCAGAUUGAACGCUGGCGGCAUGCCUUACACAUGCAAGUCGAACGGCAGCACGGAGCUUGCUCUGGUGGCGAGUGGCGAACGGGUGAGUAAUAUAUCGGAACGUACCCUGGAGUGGGGGAUAACGUAGCGAAAGUUACGCUAAUACCGCAUACGAUCUAAGGAUGAAAGUGGGGGAUCGCAAGACCUCAUGCUCGUGGAGCGGCCGAUAUCUGAUUAGCUAGUUGGUAGGGUAAAAGCCUACCAAGGCAUCGAUCAGUAGCUGGUCUGAGAGGACGACCAGCCACACUGGAACUGAGACACGGUCCAGACUCCUACGGGAGGCAGCAGUGGGGAAUUUUGGACAAUGGGCGCAAGCCUGAUCCAGCAAUGCCGCGUGAGUGAAGAAGGCCUUCGGGUUGUAAAGCUCUUUUGUCAGGGAAGAAACGGUGGGAGCUAAUAUCUCCUGCUAAUGACGGUACCUGAAGAAUAAGCACCGGCUAACUACGUGCCAGCAGCCGCGGUAAUACGUAGGGUGCAAGCGUUAAUCGGAAUUACUGGGCGUAAAGCGUGCGCAGGCGGUUUUGUAAGUCUGAUGUGAAAUCCCCGGGCUCAACCUGGGAAUUGCAUUGGAGACUGCAAGGCUAGAAUCUGGCAGAGGGGGGUAGAAUUCCACGUGUAGCAGUGAAAUGCGUAGAUAUGUGGAGGAACACCGAUGGCGAAGGCAGCCCCCUGGGUCAAGAUUGACGCUCAUGCACGAAAGCGUGGGGAGCAAACAGGAUUAGAUACCCUGGUAGUCCACGCCCUAAACGAUGUCUACUAGUUGUCGGGUCUUAAUUGACUUGGUAACGCAGCUAACGCGUGAAGUAGACCGCCUGGGGAGUACGGUCGCAAGAUUAAAACUCAAAGGAAUUGACGGGGACCCGCACAAGCGGUGGAUGAUGCGGAUUAAUUCGAUGCAACGCGAAAAACCUUACCUACCCUUGACAUGGCAGGAAUCCCGAAGAGAUUUGGGAGUGCUCGAAAGAGAACCUGCACACAGGUGCUGCAUGGCUGUCGUCAGCUCGUGUCGUGAGAUGUUGGGUUAAGUCCCGCAACGAGCGCAACCCUUGUCAUUAGUUGCUACGAAAGAGCACUCUAAUGAGACUGCCGGUGACAAACCGGAGGAAGGUGGGGAUGACGUCAAGUCCUCAUGGCCCUUAUGGGUAGGGCUUCACACGUCAUACAAUGGUACAUACAGAGGGCCGCCAACCCGCGAGGGGGAGCUAAUCCCAGAAAGUGUAUCGUAGUCCGGAUUGUAGUCUGCAACUCGACUGCAUGAAGUUGGAAUCGCUAGUAAUCGCGGAUCAGCAUGUCGCGGUGAAUACGUUCCCGGGUCUUGUACACACCGCCCGUCACACCAUGGGAGCGGGUUUUACCAGAAGUAGGUAGCUUAACCGUAAGGAGGGCGCUUACCACGGUAGGAUUCGUGACUGGGGUGAAGUCGUAACAAGGUAACC
RNAcentral lists this ribosomal RNA (1492 nucleotides) under uncultured bacterium. Its description in RNAcentral is "bacterial SSU rRNA". It matches the Rfam family "Bacterial small subunit ribosomal RNA". The record is from RNAcentral.